This 501-nucleotide ribosomal RNA is filed under the name uncultured bacterium. Its description in RNAcentral is "partial 16S ribosomal RNA". It matches the Rfam family "Bacterial small subunit ribosomal RNA", at positions 30 to 523 of the family's 1533-position model. The record is from RNAcentral.
AUUGAACGCUGGCGGCAUGCCUUACACAUGCAAGUCGAACGGCAGCACGGGUGCUUGCACCUGGUGGCGAGUGGCGAACGGGUGAGUAAUAUAUCGGAACGUACCUUAUUGUGGGGGAUAACGCAGCGAAAGCUGUGCUAAUACCGCAUAAUCCCUAAGGGGGAAAGCGGGGGACCGUAAGGCCUCGCGCAAUUAGAGCGGCCGAUACCUGAUUAGCUAGUUGGUGAGGUAAAGGAUCACCAAGGAAACGAUCAGUAGCUGGUCUGAGAGAGCGAUCAGCCAGACGGGGACUGAGACACGGCCCAGACUCCUACGGGAGGCAGCAGUGUGGAAUUUUAGACAAUGGAGGCAACCCUGAUCCAGCAAUGCCGCGUGAGUGAAGAAGGCCUUCGGGUUGUAAAGCUCUUUCGUCAGGGAAGAAACAGCAGCUCUAACACAGUUUGCGAAUGACGGUACCUGAAGAAUAAGCACCGGCUAACUACGUGCCAGCAGCCGCCGUAA